ACGAAACAUAAUGUUUGUUGUUGUUUUUAGGGGGCGGAAUCGAAAAGGAAAAGGAAACUGUAAUGAGAGUGACUUGGCAGGCGGCCAAAGGCAACAGGUCGUUGGCUGGGGUAAAGGCCGAUGGGCUGGACUGAGAAAGUGUCCCCGGGCGGGCAGCGGCCACCUUAACUCCUGGACGGAAUGGCUUUCGAGGAAACGCUGCAGUUCCACUAGGAGGCACCCUGACACACGCAUUUCCAGAGGGAGGGAUAACGGAAGCCAAAGUUUGUUAAGCGUUGUGCGCCGCGGCCGGGCGCGGUGAUUCACGCCUGUAAUCCCAGCACUUUGGGGGGCCGAGGCGGGCGGAUCACGACGUCAGGAGAUCGAGACCAUUCUGGCUAACACGGUGAAACCCCGUCUCUACUAAAAAUACAAAAACAAAAUUAGCUGGGCGUGGUGGCGGGCGCCUGUAGUCCCAGCUACUCGGGAGGCUGAGGUGGGAGAAUGGCGGGAACCCGGGAGGCGGAGUUUGCAGUGAGCCGAGAUUGCGCCACUGCACUCCAGCCUGGGCGACAGAGCGAGACUAUGUAUCAAAAAAAAAAAUGCGUUGUGCGCCGGGCUGAAACCGGCAUAAAACUGGGCAGAGCUAUGCAGGCAGCUACCCUCCCCCCCACCCCUACCCCCACCCCCACCCCCCUCGUGCCCGCUCCGCUACGUAUUCCCGUAUUCCCGGGUGCCUGGCAACAGUGAUGUGCUUUAGGCCUUUUUUAGAAUGCAUACAAACGGAACCAUAUCUAAGUGAUGUCUGGCUUUUUUAACUUAGCACAAUGCUUUGAGAUUCAUACUAUUGUGUUUAAUUAGUAAUUCAUUUGUGUUAUUGUUGAAUGGUAGUCUAUCAUAUGGGUAAGCCACAGUUUAUUUAUCCAUUCACCAAUUGAUGGGCCUGUCGGUUGUAGGGAACAGGAGAAAACUUCCCCUUUGCCCUCUGAAGGGUCACCGAAAAUCAACUGACAAGGCUGGGCCUGGGCUCCUGCCUGUAACCCCAGCCCUUUUUUAGCCCAAGGCAGGAGGAUCUCUUCUUUGUGAAGUGUGUAUUCAAAUCUUUUGACCAUUUAUUUAUUAGCUAGCUUGACUUUUUAUCUAAGAGUUCUUUAUAUAUUAUUGAGUUCUUUAUAUGUUUCAUACCAUGUUCUUUAUUAGCUAUACGUUUUGAAAUGUUUUCUACCUGUCUGUGGCUUGCCUCUUCAUUUUAAGUGUCUUUUGAAGCACUGAAGUUUUCAAUUUUGAUGUAAUUUAUCCAUUUUUUUCUUUUACAUAGUUCAUACCUUUUUUGUCCUACUUAAGACAUUUUUGCUAAAUUCAAGAUUAUAAGAUUUCCUCAUUUGUUACCUUCUGGAAGUUUUAUAAUUGUUGGUCUUCAUUAUAUUUAAAAUGAAUUAUUCUUUAUAGUAUCGAUAGAUGCUGGAGGCAGAUAAGGGAGGGUCCCUGGAGAAUCUCUGACCUGCCUCACAAGCUUUUGUGCAGCUGAGGAAGCCUGCCCAGGGUCUUGUCUGGGCAUGCCCACAAGGGACUUGGGGGCCCACUGCACCAGGAGAGUGGGGUGCAGCCAGAGGGAAUUCAGCCUUAUGCAGCAGGGAUGAGCAAGAAGUCUUCAGCUUGUGUGUGUUGGCCUGUUAUUCAGUCUGUGAGCUGGGAGCCUGUUGGCAGGACCCUCCUUGUUUUUUUGCUAAGAGCUUUUAAUAAAUGCCACUCUUCACCUUGCAAUGUAUUCACAUGCCUAAUUGUUCCUGGUCAUGAGACAAGAACCUGGAUUUUAGCUGAGCUAAGGAGCAAAAAUUCCUGCAUCAGUAUGAGAUUCAUUUCACUACCAGGUCAAAGACACAAUCAAAAGCCCGACAAAUGGAAUUUGUGGAAUUGGAACAAAAAGCUUUUCUUCCUAGGCACAAGAACAUCAAAGCAUAAAUCCUUCAGGUAUCAGCAAUGACAUCACUUAAGAAUUUCUCAGAAUCUUUGGCACCACCCCAGGCCUACCGGAUCAGAAUCUGAAUUUUUUAACAAGAUCUCAGAUCUAGUCAAGAGUCCAGUCUGAUUUCUCUUUAUUGGGACUACCACCCAAAGCAGAAUGAGGAUGAUGUAACCACGCCCAGUGACUUCUGGAUACCACUGACUCUAGAUGAGCAAGGAGAGACUCAGAGGAAGUCAGCGUUACUCGAUUAGAAAGUGACUGUGGCACUACCAUAGUAGUAAAAUCUACCAUGGCAGAGAAAAUGCCAUAUGUUCACCUUGCCAGUCGUUUUUCUUUUUCCUCCUGGGUUUAUAGGAAGAUGGCAGCCCCUGGCUCCCCUGCAAUCAGGCAGGGCCAUGUGACUGAGUCUUAGCUCACCAAUGUGGGAGAAAGUGAUGUGUGACACAUUAAGGCCAGGCCACUGAAACCUCUCAUGGGAACUUCCAUACUCACUUCCCUCAUCUGCUAGCCAACCCAAAAGAUUGAGUGGAGGAUUUUACAGCCCCAGGGCCUAGAGAUGCUGGAAAGAAGCCUGAUUCAGCCCUGAAUGAACCUGUGCAAAGGUGCCUCUGACCUCCAACCCUUGUUGGACUAGGAUGUUGGAAAAUACUGUGUUAAGCUACUGGGAUUUCAAAGUUGUUUGUCAUAGCAGCUAGCCAUAUUUACUCUACCUGAUAGAUCUAUGUUCUGUAAUUACAGUGUUUGCCUUUCAUGUCCUAAGGGUAAAUAAGUGAUAUAUGCAACAAUAAACUGUGAUGUACUAUAUAUUGUUUUUAUUACAUUAAAAUUCUUAAAAUUUGCUUUUUCA
Molecule: long non-coding RNA, 2792 nt
Filed under: Homo sapiens (human)
Lineage: Eukaryota; Metazoa; Chordata; Mammalia; Primates; Hominidae
Description: HSALNT0074833
Source: RNAcentral